RNAcentral lists this transfer RNA (93 nucleotides) under Nitrospiraceae bacterium. RNAcentral's name for it is "tRNA-Ser". It matches the Rfam family "tRNA". Rfam says of the family: Transfer RNA (tRNA) molecules are approximately 80 nucleotides in length. Their secondary structure includes four short double-helical elements and three loops (D, anti-codon, and T loops). Lineage: Bacteria; Pseudomonadati; Nitrospirota; Nitrospiria; Nitrospirales; Nitrospiraceae. The record is from RNAcentral.
GGAGAGAUGUCCGAGCGGCCGAAGGAGCACGACUGGAAAUCGUGUGUGGGGCUCAAAACUCCACCGUGGGUUCAAAUCCCACUCUCUCCGCCA